UACGUAGGGAGCAAGCGUUGUCCGGAAUCAUUGGGCGUAAAGCGCGCGUAGGUGGCUUCGUAAGUCCGUUGUGAAAGUCAAAGGCUCAACCUUUGAAAGCCGAUGGAUACUGUGAAGCUAGAGUACGGAAGAGGCGAGUGGAAUUCCUGGUGUAGCGGUGGAAUGCGCAGAUAUCAGGAGGAACACCAAUAGCGAAGGCAGCUCGCUGGGACGUUACUGACACUGAGGCGCGAAAGCGCGGGGAGCGAACAGG
RNAcentral lists this ribosomal RNA (253 nucleotides) under uncultured bacterium. RNAcentral's name for it is "partial 16S ribosomal RNA". It matches the Rfam family "Bacterial small subunit ribosomal RNA", at positions 524 to 776 of the family's 1533-position model. The record is from RNAcentral.